GGCGCCCCGACCUCCCAACCCUGUGUCUACCCAACCGACCCAUGUUGCUUCGGCGGACCGGCCCCGUCCACCCUCCUCGCGGGGGGACAGACGGCGGCCGCCGGGACCGUCACACGUCCUGGAGCGCUGUCCGCCGACGGCCCAACCGAAAAUUCUUGUCGUAACCUGUCGUCUAAACGUAUUUUUACUAUGUAAACCAAAAAUUUACAAGCAAAACUUYCAACAAACGGAUCUCUUGGUUCUGGCAUCGAUGAAGAACGCAGCGAAAUGCGAUAAGUAAUGCGAAUUGCAGAAUUUCCGUGAGUCAUCGAAUCUUUGAACGCACAUUGCGCCCUUUGGUAUUCCGAAGGGCAUGCCUGUUCGAGCGUCAUUAUCCCCCCUCAAACCUCGGGUUUGGUGUUGGACCAAGUCCCCACGAACGACCACACCGGUCGCGCACGGGACCGGUCUCAAAGACAAUGACGGCGUCCGCGGGACCCCCGGUACAAUGAGCUUUCUGUGUUUUUGCACGGGUCGAGCACGUACCGACGGUGUCGCGUGGACCCCGGUCGACCACCUUUAUUUUAUCAGGUUGACCUCGGAUCAGGUAGGAAUACCCGCUGAACUUAAGCAUAUCAAUAAGCGGAGGA
This 629-nucleotide ribosomal RNA is filed under the name Exophiala sp. Its description in RNAcentral is "eukaryotic LSU rRNA". The record is from RNAcentral. Lineage: Eukaryota; Fungi; Ascomycota; Eurotiomycetes; Chaetothyriales; Herpotrichiellaceae.